RNAcentral lists this ribosomal RNA (253 nucleotides) under Chitinophagaceae bacterium. Its description in RNAcentral is "partial 16S ribosomal RNA". It matches the Rfam family "Bacterial small subunit ribosomal RNA", at positions 524 to 776 of the family's 1533-position model. The record is from RNAcentral. Lineage: Bacteria; Pseudomonadati; Bacteroidota; Chitinophagia; Chitinophagales; Chitinophagaceae. RNAcentral also lists the same sequence under 2 other names.
UACGGAGGGUGCAAGCGUUAUCCGGAUUCACUGGGUUUAAAGGGUGCGUAGGUGGUUUUGUAAGUCAGUGGUGAAAGCCCGGAGCUUAACUCCGGAACUGCCAUUGAUACUGCUUAACUUGAAUCAACUUGAGGUGGAUGGAAUAUUACAUGUAGCGGUGAAAUGCUUAGAUAUGUAAUAGAACACCGAUUGCGAAGGCAGUUCACUAAGGUUGUAUUGACACUGAGGCACGAAAGCGUGGGGAUCAAACAGG